Molecule: ribosomal RNA, 441 nt
Filed under: uncultured bacterium
Lineage: Bacteria
Description: partial 16S ribosomal RNA
Rfam family: Bacterial small subunit ribosomal RNA
Source: RNAcentral
CCUACGGGGCGCAGCAGUGGGGGAUAUUGCACAAUGGGGGGAACCCUGAUGCAGCGACGCCGCGUGGGUGAAGGAGUGCUUCGGCAUGUAAAGCCCUAUCGGCAGGGAAGAAGCAAGACGGUACCUGACUAAGAAGCCCCGGCUAACUACGUGCCAGCAGCCGCGGUAAUACGUAGGGGGCGAGCGUUAUCCGGAUUCACUGGGUGUAAAGGGAGCGUAGACGGCCAUGCAAGCCAGGGGUGAAAGCCCGGGGCCCAACCCCGGGACUGCCCUUGGGACUGUGCGGCUAGAGUGCGGGAGGGGCAGGCGGAAUUCCUGGUGUAGCGGUGAAAUGCGUAGAUAUCAGGAGGAACACCGGCGGCGAAGGCGGCCUGCUGGACUGGGACUGACGUUGAGGCUCGAAAGCGUGGGGAGCGAACAGGAUUAGAUACACGUGUAGUC